GUCUAUGGCCAUACCAUCCUGAAUGCACCCAAUCUCAUCUGAUCUCAGAAGCUAAGCAGGGUCAGGCCUGGUUAGUACUUGGAUGGGAGACCACCUGAGAAUACGGGGUGCUGUAGGUA
This is a ribosomal RNA of Sorex araneus (European shrew), 119 nucleotides long. The record is from Ensembl. NCBI's taxonomy places the organism in Eukaryota, Metazoa, Chordata, Mammalia, Eulipotyphla, Soricidae.